AACUGAUACUACCUGCGGGAACCUGCGGAAGGAUCAUUAUCAAUUUACAGCGGACUUCGGUCCUGUCUGCACCCUUGUCUUUUGCGUACUAUAUGUUUCCUCGGUGGGCUUGCCUGCCGAUAGGACACUUAUAAACUCUUUUGUAAUUGCAAUCAGCGUCAGAAAACUAUAAUAGUUACAACUUUCAGCAACGGAUCUCU
This 200-nucleotide unclassified non-coding RNA is filed under the name soil metagenome. RNAcentral's name for it is "partial contains 5.8S ribosomal RNA, internal transcribed spacer 2, and large subunit ribosomal RNA". The record is from RNAcentral.